Molecule: long non-coding RNA, 490 nt
Filed under: Vulpes vulpes (red fox)
Lineage: Eukaryota; Metazoa; Chordata; Mammalia; Carnivora; Canidae
Description: lncRNA (ENSVVUG00000022405.1)
Source: RNAcentral
AGAAACUAUUUCCUGGGCUAAGACUCCAAGUCCAGGGCUCUUGUCCCCAGAGGACCUGUCUCCUAGAGCCAGAAAGGAAUUCUACAGUGAACACAGGGUUAAAGUAAACUCUUGCAGCUGAAAGUCUGGAAUUCUGGCUAACAAUACCUAAAUAUCUUUAGUCAGCACCAAAGUGGAAAUUGUGCACUAAUUGGAGUUCAGUGAUGCAGAUAAUAUGGAAUGGAGUACACGGGCUGACAGAAAAUUCUCUCCAGCAGCUGAGCUACUUUCACUACAUUUCAGCCCUAACAACAGAACCCAAAACAAAAAAAGGUACAGAAUGUCUGCAAGUAAUCAAACACACCUGAAGACCCUUCGAGAGAUAGGAAAAUAUCAAGAUCCAGAGCACAGCUUCCGGAGCCAUUCUGCCUGGAAUCAGGUCAUCAUUCCACACCUGACCCAGGGCUUCUUGAUUCACCUAGCUUCACAAGAGCCAAGAGGAGCCUGGUGA